Molecule: ribosomal RNA, 467 nt
Filed under: uncultured bacterium
Lineage: Bacteria
Description: partial 16S ribosomal RNA
Rfam family: Bacterial small subunit ribosomal RNA
Source: RNAcentral
GACGAACGCUGGCGGCGUGCUUAACACAUGCAAGUCGAACGGAAAGGCCCUGCUUUUGUGGGGUGCUCGAGUGGCGAACGGGUGAGUAACACGUGAGUAACCUGCCCUUGACUUUGGGAUAACUUCAGGAAACUGGGGCUAAUACCGGAUAGGAGCUCCUGCUGCAUGGUGGGGGUUGGAAAGUUUCGGCGGUUGGGGAUGGACUCGCGGCUUAUCAGCUUGUUGGUGGGGUAGUGGCUUACCAAGGCUUUGACGGGUAGCCGGCCUGAGAGGGUGACCGGCCACAUUGGGCCUGGGAUCCGGCCCAGACUCCUACGGGCGGCAGCAGUGGGGAAUAUUGCACAAUGGGCGGAGGCCUGAUGCAGCAACGCCGCGUGCGGGAUGACGGCCUUCGGGUUGUAAACCGCUUUCGCCUGUGACGAAGCGUGAGUGACGGUAAUGGGUAAAGAAGCACCGGCUACCUACGU